UGGGGAAUUUUGGACAAUGGGGGAAACCCUGAUCCAGCCAUCCCGCGUGUGCGAUGAAGGCCUUCGGGUUGUAAAGCACUUUUGGCAGGAAAGAAACGUCAUGGGUUAAUACCCCGUGAAACUGACGGUACCUGCAGAAUAAGCACCGGCUAACUACGUGCCAGCAGCCGCGGUAAUACGUAGGGUGCAAGCGUUAAUCGGAAUUACUGGGCGUAAAGCGUGCGCAGGCGGUUCGGAAAGAAAGAUGUGAAAUCCCAGAGCUCAACUUUGGAACUGCAUUUUUAACUACCGGGCUAGAGUGUGGCAGAGGGAGGGGGAAUUCCGCGUGUAGCAGUGAAAUGCGUAGAUAUGCGGAGGAACACCGGUGGCGAAGGCAGCCUCCUGGGAUAACACUGACGCUCAUGCACGAAAGCGUGGGGAGCAAACAGG
This 429-nucleotide ribosomal RNA is filed under the name Acidobacteriota bacterium. Its description in RNAcentral is "Acidobacteria bacterium partial 16S ribosomal RNA". It matches the Rfam family "Bacterial small subunit ribosomal RNA", at positions 355 to 776 of the family's 1533-position model. The record is from RNAcentral. Lineage: Bacteria; Pseudomonadati; Acidobacteriota.